GAAACACCUGGAGGAAGAAGGGUGAAUGGGAAACACCUGGAGGAAGAAGGGAGUGGGGAGGAGUUCCAAGCAGAAGGGACCGAGCCGCAUGGACUGGGAAUUCUAAGUGGCUGGAUAGAAAGCGUCUGUCAAAGACGGUGACACGUUAGGCCAGAGAGAUUUGGGGACCUGAAGGCCUCGAAGGUCUCUCUCUGUGUUACUUUCAUGGGCGUGGAGUACAGAUGUGUCUCAGAGCACCCCUACACUUGUGCAGUGCACAACUCAAAUAACUGAGCAGGGUGACCCUGCCCCACUAAGGGAGAUGAGCUUUAUCUUGAGGGGAAUGGGCAGCCUUCAGAGGGUUUGAAGCAGAAGAUUGACAUGGCUAUAAAUGUGAGUUUAAAAGAUCACAGUGGCUGUGGAGCAUGUGUUAGAGGAAGAAAAGGCGGAGGCAGGAAAGCAGUUGGGAGGAAGCCUUGUGAAUGCAGGUGAGGCUUGUCAGGGCUGCUUUCAGGCAGUGCUGGGGAGAAUGGAGGGGCGCAUGCUGUGUGGGGCCCGCAGUGGCUUCUGUAGGAGCUUGAGAGUGACAGCACAAGGAAUGAAGAAAAUGUCCAAUCCACUGUAAACAUCUUCGGUGGCUUCAUUGCGCCAGACAGCCCCACCGUAGCCUGGGCCCUGAGCUUCUGCCUACCAGGCUGUCAGCAACAUCUCAGCAACAGGCUCCAGCCAGUUGGCACAUACCUGGCUCAGCUCUACAGGUAGCAGUGAUGCUUUUAGGACCUCGUUUGUUAUUUUUCAGACCUAACCUCAUUGCUCUGCACUUCAGGGGCUGAAAUGCAACUCCCUGUGGGGCCCAAGGGGACUUUUGGCCUCUCUGCAGCCUGCUGGUCCCUGGAGGAUCUACCUCGUGCUGCUCACCCAAACCCUGCACGGCUGGCAAAUCCCUUCUGGGUUUUGUUUGAGGCACCAGAGGCUCCCCUGAGGCAUUGAAUUCUGAUUUUAUUGUUGCUGUUGCUGUUGAUGUUUGUGUCCAUACAUUUUGCAACUUCCCACAAACUUGUACAUCCAAAUGCUUUGCCCUG
Molecule: long non-coding RNA, 1061 nt
Filed under: Homo sapiens (human)
Lineage: Eukaryota; Metazoa; Chordata; Mammalia; Primates; Hominidae
Description: HSALNT0169450
Source: RNAcentral